GAACAUCAACAUUGAACAUGCGAACUCCAGAAAGGAAACUAUGGCUGUCAGUUCCUCCACUACAGGUGUGUAUAUAACCACUUUCUUUGCCGUUCCAUUUUUUUAUUCGAUAAUUCGGACUCAUUUGAGAGUUAUUUAUGUUCCGUUUUGGACGAAUGGGAACCGGGAAAUGUUCAAAAUUAGUCGCAGAGCACAUGCUCGUGACGUCACAUAUUAAUGACGGUGCCCUUUUCUGAAAACGAAACGUCAAUUAAAGAACAUAUUAACUACAUUAUCUGUAUGUAUUGUGUUUUUUUCGUUUUUUAAAAAGGGGGAAAUAUGACAAUAUAUAGCUGUAUCCUCUCUGCGUUAUGUUGUUUUAUGUUUGUUUAAUUGGAACCCGGAAGUUAAUUACAAAAACAACAUGGCUCAAUGUUUUUUUUGUUUGGAUGACGACUUUGCAGGACAGAGGCCAUGGUGGAAAUGCUAAAAAGGCCACUUUGUCAACAAUCCAAGAUGUCAUUCUACACGACAAAACAGAUGAAACGUUGGAAAAUCAUGGCGGUCUGCAACUUCUUUGUGUGUGGCUGGGUCAAGGAAAUUGGUAUCAAGACUCUUUUGGAUGAAUCCUGCAUCAUUGUUGCGCGGGUUCUGCUUGUUCUGCUCUUCUACACCUCCCUCCAUCCACUACAGUAGUAUGCAAGUUGGAUGUCGUACUGUAUGUACACACCUCCCGGCUUCAACUGUGCGCCCUGUUCCAUGACGUGCAGCAGAUAUUUUUUUGCCUUGACAAGCAAGCUUGUGUCACGUGAUGUUAUGGAACUGAUGAGCAGCAAGUCGACAUCAGCCUUAAUGGUAAUUGUCAGUCCAGUAAGCAUCUAGGUCAAAGGUCCAAAGGCUGUAUAAGCUACGGAGUUGCUGUAUGUAAGUAUUUUUUGUGUUGUUUUUAGAGCGACAUUGACAACCUAGAAACCUGGUUGCUCAAGAUGGCUCACUGUGGCCCAUUUAAGAAACAAUAUUAUUUGAGCUUGCGUGUGACCUAUGGAUGCAUCAGACAUGUUACGGUAUAAAAUACAUACAACCGAGACUCACCAGUCCUGCACGGCGCCAAAGGACUCCUCGUUGGUGAUGUCAUACAUGAGGAUGAAGCCCAUGGCGCCGCGGUAGUAGGCCGUGGUGAUGGUCCUGUAACGCUCCUGGCCUGCUGUGUCCUACACACACGCACACACACACACACACGUUCUGUUCACUGUCAUGCUCAUGCCAUCGUUAAUCAGAUUGCAAGGCAGCAUAAACCAUAUAGGCUGCUGUGCACACAUUUAAUCACAUCUUUGUAUUGUGUUCAUGAUGCAGACAUUGUUCUGCUGAUUGUCUGUCAUUCUGCACUCAAACGAACAGUGACUCAUUUGUGUCUCUUUUCAGGCUUUGCCAUUUUAGCUGUGAACAAAGUUCAGCUUAUAAUAAUAAAAUGAUGACACAUUCUGUCUUUAAAUGAGUAAAAUGGUAUUCAGUGAUACAUGUUCCCAUUGUAAGCUAAAUAAAUAUUUAAUCCACUCCAGGGUUAAACUGUGUUAUAAAACACAAGUUUAUUUAUGUUUUUGAUUGGUUAUACCUUCUCUGCAUCCUAAAUAGUGCUGUUCCUGGAACCUUUAUGGUCAAGUUGUCCAUGUUUAGAAACACAUAUUCCAAAAGGAACUAAUAGAAAUAGCAUUCGUUUCUGUCACGGCCCGGGCGCAUUCCAAUGCGCACUCGUCUGUGCGCUCUGCUGAUUGCACCUCCAAGAGCGCACCUGUGCGCGCCACUCCUGCAGAAGCUGCGCCGGUGCCCAGCUGCAAUCAAUCGCCAGCAAUCAACGCAUCUGAAGCUGAUGAAGAGAUCUGCUUUCUUAAGCCGGCACAACCUGCUAUCCGGCGCCAGAAAGUAGCUAGCUGUCCUGUACACCUCCGUUCGUUACGAGCUGUGCGUCUUGCCUCCCCGCGUUCCCUCUGCCUCCCUGACUGCCUCUUGGAUCUCGACCUCCCGCCUGGACACGGACCUUCAACGCCCCACUAUAGCCCCGACUUUCUGACUGCGACGGACCUCCGAGCUCUGCCUUGUCCCUCUUGAUCUUCAGCCUCUUGCUCAACACUACCGGUAUCACCACAUAGUCUCACACACACACACACACAAUUUGGAUUCGCCACACUCCUUUUCCUUUGUUUAUAUAUAUUAUUAUUUGUUAAUUAUAAAAGGUGAAACUGCCAAUGAUUGUCACACACACAAUAAGUGCAGUGAAAUUAUCCUCUGCAUUUGACUCAUCCCCACAGGAGAACAGUGAGCAUUAGCGGUGGCCACGCCCGUUAAUCAUUUGGUGAUUUAACCCUCAAUUCCAGCCCUUCAUGCUGAGUGCCAAGCAGGGAGGUAAUGGGUUCCAUUUGUAUAGUCUUUGGUAUGACUCGGCCGGGAUUUGAACUCACGACCUACCGAUCUCAGGGCGGACACUCUAACCACAAGGCCACAGACAUAGAUAGAUAGAUAGAUAGAUAGAUAGAUAGAUAGAUAGAUAGAUAGAUAGAUAGAUAGAUAGAUAGAUAGAUAGAUAGAUAGAUAGAUAGAUAGAUAGAUAGAUAGAUAGAUAGAUAGAUAGAUAGAUAGAUAGAUAGAUAGAUAGAUAGAUAGAUAGAUAGAUAGAUAGAUAGAUAGAUAGAUAGAUAGAUAGAUAGAUAGAUAGAUAGAUAGAUAGAUAGAUAGAUAGAUAGAUAGAUAGAUAGAUAGAUAGAUGGAUGGAUGGAUG
This is a long non-coding RNA of Nerophis ophidion (straightnose pipefish), 2752 nucleotides long. RefSeq lists it as uncharacterized. The transcript is spliced from 4 exons. The record is from RefSeq and is a predicted model, not a curated record. Lineage: Eukaryota; Metazoa; Chordata; Actinopteri; Syngnathiformes; Syngnathidae.